This 731-nucleotide ribosomal RNA is filed under the name uncultured eukaryote. Its description in RNAcentral is "SSU rRNA". It matches the Rfam family "Eukaryotic small subunit ribosomal RNA", at positions 671 to 1426 of the family's 1831-position model. The record is from RNAcentral.
GGUGUGUACUGGUCUUGAUGGAAGCUUACCUCUUGGUGGGUCGGCAUGCCCUUCGUUGGGUGUGUCGAUUAACCAGGACUUUUACUUUGAGAAAAUUAGAGUGUUCAAAGCAGGCUUUCGCCCGAAUACAUUAGCAUGGAAUAAUAGAAUAGGACGCGCGUCUUUAUUUUGUUGGUUUCUAAAUUCGCCGUAAUGAUUAAUAGGGAUAGUCGGGGGCAUUCGUAUUGCUUGGUCAGAGGUGAAAUUCUUGGAUUCUAGCAAGACGAACUACUGCGAAAGCAUUUGCCAAGGAUGUUUUCAUUGAUCAAGAACGAAGGUUAGGGGAUCGAAAACGAUCAGAUACCGUUGUAGUCUUAACAGUAAACUAUGCCGACUAGGGAUCGGACAAGCACAAUCUAUGACUUGUUCGGCACCUGAAGAGAAAUCUUUAAGUCUAGGUUCGGGGGGGAGUAUGGUCGCAAGGCUGAAACUUAAAGGAAUUGACGGAAGGGCACCACCAGGUGUGGAGCCCGCGGCUUAAUUUGACUCAACACGGGGAAACUCACCAGGUCCAGACACAAUAAGGAUUGACAGAUUGAUAGCUCUUUCUUGAUCUUGUGGUUGGUGGUGCAUGGCCGUUCUUAGUUGGUGGAGUGAUUUGUCUGGUUAAUUCCGAUAACGAACGAGACCUUAACCUGCUAAAUAGACCCGGGGCCUUAGGGAACCGGCUGUCUUCUUAGAGGGACUGUAGG